This is a long non-coding RNA of Ricinus communis (castor bean), 402 nucleotides long. RefSeq lists it as uncharacterized. The record is from RefSeq and is a predicted model, not a curated record. Lineage: Eukaryota; Viridiplantae; Streptophyta; Magnoliopsida; Malpighiales; Euphorbiaceae. The transcript is spliced from 2 exons.
GUCUAUCAUUCUUCUCUCUACGAAUCCACUACAAUUCAUCUCUUACAAACACUUAAUUAGUUAUCAUUCUUCUCUCUACGAAUCCACUACAAUUCAUCUCUUACAAACACUUAAUUAGUUUUGCAUUAUUCUUUCAAAGAUUAAAGAAGUUUUUCAGGAUGCAGAAAGAAAAUAAGAUCAGGUGAUUCAUCUCAAACUUCCUACAAGAUCAGCUAUUAAAAAGACAAAAGAAGACCAAGAAGUAGAGAGUGAGUUUGUACCUUUAAGAGGAGAAAAAGAAUUUGAAGAAAAACUAGAAGAAGGAUUUGAAGAAAAGGUUGAAAUAAUGACUAAUGACCAAAGACAAGUAGCUAUUGAAAGGCAAAUGGCUAUGAAGAAUUAUGCUCAGCCUGUAAUUGGUAA